Non-coding RNA from Budorcas taxicolor (takin), 73 nucleotides. Lineage: Eukaryota; Metazoa; Chordata; Mammalia; Artiodactyla; Bovidae. The record is from the annotation of a RefSeq genome assembly.
UCCCUGGUGGUCCAGGGGUCAGGACUCCGUUCUUUCACUGCUGUGGGCCCAGGUUCAAUUCCAGGUCAGGGAA